CUGAAGAGUUCCAAUAUUUUGUCGCAACAUAGUAGCCACGUGUUAUGAUGAAGAUUCUUGUGAGUAAAUGUGAGUGUAAAUACACAGAUAAAGCGUCGGGGACAUGAAUAAUUCACACGUUUACUUCAUCUGACUGUGCCGUUAGUAUCAAUGUGUACCUUGUUCCAUAAAUGUUUUCAAAUUCUCACUAAAUAAAAAUAAUUCUAUUCG
Non-coding RNA from Pelobates cultripes (western spadefoot toad), 210 nucleotides. Lineage: Eukaryota; Metazoa; Chordata; Amphibia; Anura; Pelobatidae. The record is from the annotation of a GenBank genome assembly.